UGUUAUGAUUUCUACAGAUGUAAAAACAAUUUUCAACUUUUGUUUAUUGCUUGGCUCCAGAAUUGACUGGGUUAGUGAGGAUCUUGAGAAGCCACUUCCUUCACUGCUAAAAUGAAACAGCUGACAGGAUGAUCAGCUCUUCAUAUUAAUCAAGCCUUCCAGCUGAUGAUGUGAAGCUUGGCAUUGGCAAAUAGAAUGGGGCAGUUACAAAAGGAUUUGCAUUAGACCAAAUUCCAAACAGCUUUUGAAUAAACUUACUGUAUGUGAAUAAAUUUUUGAUUUUAUCCACUGAUAAUUGCUUUUCUGAAAUAUAACUACUUGAUAACAUUUAUUUGGUUAAUUAA
Molecule: long non-coding RNA, 344 nt
Organism: Centruroides sculpturatus (bark scorpion)
Lineage: Eukaryota; Metazoa; Arthropoda; Arachnida; Scorpiones; Buthidae
Exons: 3
Source: RefSeq, a predicted model, not a curated record